Molecule: ribosomal RNA, 497 nt
Filed under: uncultured bacterium
Lineage: Bacteria
Description: partial 16S ribosomal RNA
Rfam family: Bacterial small subunit ribosomal RNA
Source: RNAcentral
GAUGAACGCUGGCGGCGUGCCUAAUACAUGCAAGUCGAACGAACAGACGAGGAGCUUGCUCCUCGCACGUUAGCGGCGGACGGGAGAGUAACGCGUGGAUAACCUACCUAUAAUACUGGGAAAACUUCGGAACACCGGCGCUAAUACCGGAUAAUCUCUUGCACCGCAUUGGGCAAUAGUGAAAGUCGGUUUUGCUGUCACUUCUAGAUGCAUCCGCGCCGCAUUAGCUGGUUGGUAAGGUAACGGCCUAUCACGGCGACGAUGCGUAGCCGACGUGAGAGGGGGAUCGCCCACACGGGAGGGGGGACAGGGUCCAGACGCCUACGGGAGGCACCAGAAGCGUACGGGCCGCAGCGGGCGGAAGCAUGACGGAGCAACGCCGAGUGAGUGAUGAAGGUCCUCGGAGCGUGAUAACCGGUUAUUAGGGAAGAACCACUGUGGAAGUAACUAUGCACGGCUUGACGGUACUGAAUCAGAAAGCCACGGCUAACUACGUG